CUUUUUGCAUUUGUAUAGAUGGAAAUUGCAGGGACUGCCAGCCAGAGACUGUCUCAGGUUUGAUCGGAGGUUUGCUUGGGCUAAUAGUUGUUGUUGUUGCUUUAGUGUUUUUCACCUUAAAGAAGAAAAGCUACUCAAUAAUUGGACGAGAGAGUGCUGGUGAAACAGCCAGCAGUGCGACUGGCUUUCAGGAGGAUUUGAUGAUCCCUGCAGAGAAUAUGGUAUCUGUUCCAGAGCAGCUUCUGCAAAUCCUGGAUGAACUGAAUGUUGAGAAUAAAAAGAGGUUCAAGUGGCAUUUGAAACAAUAUGGGCAAAUUCCAUCCUCUCUCAUUGAGAAUGCACAUAACGCUCAUGUAGUGGAUAUGAUGGUGGAGAGGUUUGGACCAAACGAAUCUUUGAAGCUCACAGUGCAGCUCCUGAAGAUGAUGAACCAAAACCAUCUGGCUGAACAGUUAGAAAUAAAAAACUAGAGGAAAGUUUUUGGUUUGGUCUUCACAUGUAUUUUGAGUAUUAUGUUAUGUUGCAUCAGUUUAUUUAAGUAGUAUGUCAAAUAAGUUUAUGCUUCAAAUAUUUAUUCUUAUUUUUGAGGGUUUUAACAGUAAGGCCUCUGUUUUACUCUAGAGACCAAUAAUCUCUCUGUCAUAGAUCCCUGCAAAGAAGAGUAGACUAGGGGAGUAGACUAUAUAAGGACUCUGGGUUUUCAUUUGGGUUAGCAUUCUCUGUGGGAUUGUUCUCUCAGGAGCGGCUCUUGACCAGAUUGUGACAUCUCACUGAUUUUCUUUUUUUUAUACAUUUCUUAAAUCAUGUAGCUUUAAGAUUUUGUUAGUUAUUUUUGUUUGUUAUUCCCUUUGUUUCUUUAUUUUUCCAUAGACUUAUGUUUAUUUGUAGUUAUUGUUACAUUUGUUAAAGAAAAUAAAACAAUCGGCAUUGAUUGAA
Molecule: long non-coding RNA, 936 nt
Organism: Ctenopharyngodon idella (grass carp)
Lineage: Eukaryota; Metazoa; Chordata; Actinopteri; Cypriniformes; Xenocyprididae
Exons: 3
Source: RefSeq, a predicted model, not a curated record